GAUGAACGCUGGCGGCGUGCCUAAUACAUGCAAGUCGAGCGAACAGACGAGGAGCUUGCUCCUCUGACGUUAGCGGCGGACGGGUGAGUAACACGUGGAUAACCUACCUAUAAGACUGGGAUAACUUCGGGAAACCGGAGCUAAUACCGGAUAAUAUAUUGAACCGCAUGGUUCAAUAGUGAAAGACGGUUUUGCUGUCACUUAUAGAUGGAUCCGCGCCGCAUUAGCUAGUUGGUAAGGUAACGGCUUACCAAGGCAACGAUGCGUAGCCGACCUGAGAGGGGGAACCGCCCCACUGGAACUGAGGCACGGUCCAGACUCCUACGGGAGGCAGGCGUAGGGAAUCUUCCGCAAUGGGCGAAAGCCUGACGGAGCAACGCCGCGUGAGUGAUGAAGGUCUUCGGAUCGUAAAACUCUGUUAUUAGGGAGGAACAAAUGUGUAAGUAACUAUGCACGUCUUGACGGUACCUAAUCAGAAAGCCACGGCUAACUACGUG
RNAcentral lists this ribosomal RNA (497 nucleotides) under uncultured bacterium. RNAcentral's name for it is "partial 16S ribosomal RNA". It matches the Rfam family "Bacterial small subunit ribosomal RNA", at positions 28 to 507 of the family's 1533-position model. The record is from RNAcentral.